Molecule: ribosomal RNA, 216 nt
Filed under: Glomeromycotina sp.
Lineage: Eukaryota; Fungi; Glomeromycota
Description: partial small subunit ribosomal RNA
Rfam family: Eukaryotic small subunit ribosomal RNA (bases 40-216)
Source: RNAcentral
GGGUCAGUAGGUUGGUCGUGCCACCGGUACGUACUGGUCUCACUGAUUCCUCCUUCCUGAAGAACCGUAAUGCCAUUAAUUUGGUGUUGCGGGGAAACAGGACUGUUACUCUGAAAAGAUUAGAGUGUUUAAAGCAAGCUAACGCUUGAAUACAUUAGCAUGGAAUAAUGAAAUAGGACGAUCGAUCCUAUUUUGUUGGUUUCUAGGAUUGACGUA